Non-coding RNA from Labrus bergylta (ballan wrasse), 1432 nucleotides. Lineage: Eukaryota; Metazoa; Chordata; Actinopteri; Labriformes; Labridae. The record is from RefSeq and is a predicted model, not a curated record.
GUGAGGACGUGCUGCCUUUAACAUGGUUUGUAGUCUGAUUUAAUCAUGAAAUACAGGCAGAUCCCAGUCUCUCCUCCUCCUGUGGUUCAAACUGGAGUAUUGUUGUUGCUGAUAAAAUGGUUAUCCUGUUUUCAUCAGAGUUCUCAAACCAUCCUGCUGCUUCUGGUCAUCUCACGCCAGGUCAAAGAUUGAAAAGACGGACAGCAACGGCUAUCUUCCAGAGAAAAUAAAUACACAAAGCGGACAAUUUAACCAGAAACUGAUGUGGACACCAUUGAUGUUUGCCUGGACGGACAGUUUCUGCUGGUCUGAGAAAGAAAUGGAAACCUUCAAAGUCCCUGUGAUAGCCAGAGUCACAGGACCAAAGGAUUCAGGUGAGAUCGAUCUGUAAUUCAGAUGUUUUCCAGGAGAAUCCUGGGAAAACAAAUAUUGUUGAACAUGACAUUGUUGUUAGAGAAGAUGCUUCUGUGAGAAGAUUAAGUUAUAGGAUCCAUGAGUGCCUGUUGGCCUCACUGAGGAUGGAGGUUGACCUGAUGCUGUCCCUGGGGAUCAUCCAAUAGUGUAACCCAAUGAUGCUCGUACCAAAGGAUGGAAGCAUAAGGUUCUGCAUUGAUUUCAGUUCACAGUAAUGCCAUUUGGGUUGAACGGUGCCCCAGCAACUUUCUGGAGACUCAUGGACCAGGUACUUCAUGAUUUAUCUGGUUUUGCUGAAGCAUAUCUGGAUGACAUCAUCAUUUACAGGAACACCUGUGUUGGAUCGCCUUCAUUCUGCCGGGCUGACAGUCAACCCAUUGAAGUGCAUCGUUGCUGCUGCAGAGACUGAGUACCUGGGCCAUCAUUACAUCAUCAGCAAUGGGGUUGUACACCCUCAGGUCAACAAAACCCAGGCCAUAGAGUCCUGUGCCCUGCCACAAACAAGGAAGCAGCUCCGAUCCUUUUUGUGCUAUCCGGCUUCUAUCACUGCUUCAUAACAACAGUGCAGCUCUACACAAAGACUUGACUAGAUCCCAGAGUCCCAAUCAGAUCCACUGGACAGAGGAGGCAGUGACAGCUUUCAGUGAUAUCCAACAAUCACUAGGUAAGCAACCUGUUCUGUACAGCCCAGACUUAGACAAACAUUUUCUUCUCCUCCAGGAUGAUCGGCAUCCAGUCGCCUACAUCAGAUGGAAACUGUUCCCCAGAGAGGUUCGGUAUUUGACUGAGGAGAAGGAGGCACUAGCUAUCAAGUGGGCCCUUGAUUCCUUCCCAUACUACCUUCUUGGUCCAGAGUUCACCUUGGCGACGGAUCACAAGGCACGUUUGGUUUGUAGACUUGGUUUUCUAUUUAUGGGUGAAAUAAAAACCUACCUUUUCUUAAAACUUAUUCCUGUGUCUCAUGCGUUACUGCUCGGUCCCUAACAGUCCCCCCACAAGAGAAUCCUUCUCACCAGGG